This is a long non-coding RNA of Gallus gallus (chicken), 18253 nucleotides long. RefSeq lists it as uncharacterized. The record is from RefSeq and is a predicted model, not a curated record. Lineage: Eukaryota; Metazoa; Chordata; Aves; Galliformes; Phasianidae. The transcript is spliced from 4 exons.
AAACCUAUCUUGCAUGACAGGAAAUCAGUCUUGUGUGCUGUGGGUCACCAGCAUGCGAACCCAGAAACAAAUCUGUACUAAUGAGCAACUUCAGGCACGGUUUGCUUUACAGAUGAACAAAACAAAUAAAGCGUGCUUUAUUUUGACUUAAGAGCUGCUCUCCUUUUCUGUCUGUGGCAGCACAGCCUUUCAGCUCAUUAUCUGAGGACUCACCUUGUGAAGGAAAGCAGCAGAUCUGUUCGUGCUGCAGAUCAGCCUCUCAAAAGUCACACCGAGAACUACUGCUUGAGUUUGCCAAGAGCCGGAACGACUGAAGGAGAUAACCACCGCACUCAGAACAAACAUCAGUAGCUCAAAUGCCAGUAGUAACUAUGAACAGAAUUGGCACUUUAACCAGCUCCAUCUUCAGAACAAGAAAAGAAAAUGGAAGCAUAUAAAAUAGGCUGUUGAGCAGCCUGUCCUGCUUUCCUCGGUUCAGUAGCUUCAGCAAACAAAGAAAACUCUGUACUGUACGCGGAUACAGAGGCCACAGAUUCUGUGUAACAGGACAGAACAGAAUUUGUUUCCUUCCUUUAGGUGUCUGAGCUUCAGUUAUGUGUGGUAAUUGUGAAGCCUUUUACACAGAUCUCAGAGUGGUUGAGGUUGUGAGGAGCCACAACCUCAGGAGGAGGAGUGGGAUCAUUCAGUCCACCUUCUGCUUCAGGUACAGUCACCUAGAGCACAUUGCCCAGGAUCACAUCCAGGAGGCCACAAUAUCCUCUUUCUUCAAAGUGGUUUGAGGCAUUGCUAUCCCUUCUCAUCUCAUGUGUUCAAUUCAUUCCAGGCCAUCAAGACCUGGACUAUAGCAAAGAAAUGAACACACUGGCUUAAAUGGUGACACUUAAAAGACUUAGAAGAAGGUAACUGGAAGACUCUGAAUAAAAGGAGAUUGCUAAUUUUGAAGGCAGUAACUCAUAUGCAGCAUUCCUGGCUUAUAAAUUGUAUGACAGUAAUAAGGUAAAUAAAUGUCUCCUCUGUUUUGCAUUGUAAUACAGCGGUUUAGAAAGAAUCGUGUCAUCCUAAACAAGGAGAGAACAGUACAGCACUUAUAUUCUGUCUGAGGAAAGGAAAAUGGACAGAAGUCUGGGUGCGAAAAGCAUAGGAGUUCUUCACAGCUGUCUCUUAUCAAGGAAAAGAAACAGCCUGGAAAAUGUUUGAAAUGCACAGUCAGAGAAAUGUGGCUCCAAGGUAUGCUGAGAGAGAGUUCGUCUAACCCAGUUGCCUUCCCAGGCACAGGAUCUUUUCAAAGCAUUAUGCUGUAUACAUUGGUUCUUAAAUUAAUAAUUGAAAAUUAUUAUAUUGACCUAUCUGAAAACAGAAUAACAUCAGUUUCCUCUACCUGCAGGUCAUUUCCAACCUGUCCUAGACUGAUGAGGCAGGCUUUAAAUUCAUCAGAAUGUAGAUUGUCAGAUUCAUCCUAGCAUCCCAUAACAGGUCAUGCAUUUGGAAGGUAAAAGAAAAGAAGGAAAAAAAAAUCACAGACCAGGUUAGUUGGUUAGUAAAGAACAUUCGACACUUUUAUUAGUAACCAUAUGUUUAUAGAACUUAAUGGAAAUGUAAUGUUAAUUUACUGCAAUGAAUUCCCUAAAAUGUGUAAAACUUCUGUAGUUUCAUGCUUUACUUUUUUCCUUAGUGGAAGAGGAGCUGGACUUCAAUUACAAUGUUAAAACUGUGCUUCCUCUACAGGUACUUUUUAAACAUCUUUGCUUACAAGGCAGUUUUUGUUCUGCUGAACUACCAUUUGCUGCUUCCAUUUUCUAUUGCCAUACAGUGUAUCUCAGAUGCAGUAAACAAAUCACUGAAUCUGUACAGAACCUUUUUCCACACUCAGUCACCGUUACUUCUCUCUAGAUCUGAUAUUACUUAGAAACUGAAUAUGCAUAUGUAAAAUGAGAGAACAACUGAGUUAAUGCCUAGAUUCAAAAGAAAUCUAUACCUGACAACUUAUUUUCAGUUCAUUAAUGAUCUAUAAAGUUUUGCUUUGAAAACUGAUUUUAAAGAGUCCCCAUUAAAUUCUAGGUUAAGUGCCCCUAGUACUACCAUGUUAAACUGCAUCCCUGGUUUGAACAAAUUUUUUCAUUCUGUUGGUCAAAAAAUUCACGCUACCUUCUUAAAAAUAGACUUACCCAUCUCUUUCCUCUUGUUCAUACAAAACAAGUCUAUCUGUGUUAGCAUAUACAAUUAAAGAAAUGUUCCUAAGCUGAAAAAAUACUACACUUAUUGAUGUGACAGACUGACUGCUACAUAUAAGAGAGUGGGUUUGCUUGGUGGAUGAAUAACGUACUUCUGAAAAUUUUCAUGUAGUUAUGUAUUACUAAAAUCCUAAGAGUUUUAACAAAUGCAUUAUUUACCAAAUUAAUUGGAUUAAAUGGUGCUUUAUCAAGUUCAUGAUGCCAUGCAUUUUGGACAUAUUGUGUUGUUAGAAUACUGACUCCUCUGCAUCAGCCUCCACCAGCUUCAUGAAGGAAAGAUGAAGAAUAAUGAGACAGAAAGCAAAGCUACACAUUUAGAGCAGCAUUUAGUUGAAAGCCAAAACCACAACCUUUAGCAUCUCUAUUUUAUGGAAUAAUUCCUGCUGCAAAGCAUUCAAAAUGAUUUUAUCAUUAAUGAAAUGAUGUUUUAUCAUUAAUGAAAAUGUUAACAUAGGUUGACUCAAAACUGUCGAAAACUAUUCUGAGGGUAAGCUAUGGGAUCAAGACACAAUAGAAGCAAAGUCAGCUCAUUUGAUCAUAUUUCUAAAGCCAAAGAAAUUUCUGUGCAACUACAAACAAUGUGAUUUUAGAACUGGAGCUAAGAUCCAAAUUCUGUCUCUCCUCCUCCUCUACAGGGUCUUGUAGGAAAAUAUUAGCUAUUCAAAUACACCAGGGGUGUGGGGGUGGUCAGUUUAUGUGUCAGUUGGAAUCAUACAAGAGGCACUGGAGGAGAGUUGAUCGUGAAAGGGGGGGUAGCAUAUCUACCAAAGCAACCAGAAGAGAAGUCAGUGGUUGUGAUCGAGCUCCCAGUCAGCAUUUGGUUUUGGGAUUCCCCAGAAGAGAGCUCAAGUAGUUGUUCCAUGUGCUACAGCAGGCUUUCACAUACUUGUAACGAUUUUUUUAAUCUCUAUGAUCUGUAUCAUCUUCAGUAUUAAAAAAAAAAACAUCUUCACCUUUGCCAUAUAUCAGAGUUGCAGGGGAUACAAUGAUAUUUUGCAAUUCAGUCAUAGAUCAAAAUCCUUUAACGGAUUACUCACUGGAAAAUGGUUCUUUGCGUUGUUUAGAAACCAACAUUAAGCACUGAAAUUAUUGUUGUAAAGCAUUUAAAUAAAUGACUCAUUUAUCCUUUCUUGUCAGUACAAACUAAAACAGUGAAAUCUCACCUUAUUUCAUUAUUACUCCCCAGAGAACUUUUCCUUCUCCCGUGUGAAUUAUAUGUGGCCUUACAUAAAAAAGUGGAAUUUUAAGUGAAAGUAAUGUAUCUUACAAUAUGUGCUUUAUUUUCAUGAAUAUGAAUUGACCUGCACAGGCUUGAUCAUGUGUUUUUUUUAAUGGGAAGCUGUUUUUUUCUGCUAGUAAAGUAAAUGGUGGCAGGAUGCUCUUGUUCUGCAUGCAGAACUCCUACUUAAAAUCUGUAGUUUGCCAAAAAUCGAUAGUAGAAUAUAUCAGCAGCUGGUAGGACACUGCAUGCAAAGCAGUUGCAGACGUUUUAUCCCAUUUUUCUUAGAAUGUACUAAAUAUCCUGAAUUUGAAAAAGGAUUCUACAUUAAAAGACUUGAAAAUCAGUGACUGACAACAUAACUAUUUCAAUGUCCCAAUUUGUCUGCAUACCAUUAUUCAGUUAUGCAACAUUUUGAACACUUCUAAACUGCUGUGAUUUAGACAUUGUGUUCCACUUCCUUUUUUUCCUCUAUGCAAACACAUUAAGAGAGGAGAAGAAAUAUACCAGCAAUAGUAAAGGUUUCUAUUUACACCUACAACUAGACUGUGCCCUUAGGCAUAGCCUCCAGCAAGGAGUUACCUUGCAGCAACAUCCUCAGGAAUAACUUCAGGGGCAUCCGCCUGUAAUUUGAAAGAGAAGAUCCUAGAGGGCUUCCCCUUUGCCUCAAGGGAGUUAGUGUACUUACCAUUUGACUUUAACAAGAUGACUUUUAAUGGAUUUUUUGUGCUAGCAUAGCUGUGCUGGUGGAUAUACUGUAGGAAACACAAGCUCUUUCUGCCCUUAUUAUUCUUCCAUGCACGGUGUCUCCUUACUCAGUGUAAUUUAGGGGGUCAGGGGCACAUAGCCCCAAACAAAAACUUACAAAAUAUCUAAUAGCUUUCUUUUAAAUAUUCAAGAUGCAGAAGCCAUUUAAAAUAAUAACUUAGCUAUCUUCCAAAAAGCUAACAACCACAGAAUUAAGCCCCAUGAUUUAUUAUAAACUGAAAAAAAAAACCCAUAUAUACGUGUUAUUUGCUUUCUUUCCUGGAGAGGAAGAAAGGGGUUCCUUCCUCAGAUUUAUAACUAAAGCAAGUUCUCUUUCGAAGUACUCUAUAAAGAACUGUUAGGUUUAUGUAUACUAAAAUGGGUUCUUUAAAAUGGAGAAGGGGGCUGCUCUGCACAUUAAUAUUUUGCUGACAUCCUCAACACACAUUAAGAGUCAAACAUUAAGAUGUUUCUUAAAGUGGAGAAAUGCCACCAUACAAGUCAGAGCUAUAGCAUGCAUAAAAUGACUCAGUUUUCCGUAUGUAUUUAAGGCCUCCUGCUCAAGGACAGCGUUAGUUUCUAAAAUCUUUUCUGGCUAUCCAUCAAUAUGAAUCGCAGACUAAUUCUUUCAGUGUGUUUUCAAACUACGUCAGGUAUAGAGAAAUGCUCCUAUGAGCAUUACUAAGCAUUACAUACUGCUAAAAGACUGCUUUUUUUUUUUUUUUUGGGGGGGGGGGGGGUCUAACAUGGAGAAGUCGCUACUUUCAUGUUAGUGCUUAUGUUCAUCUUCAUUUCUUUGAGGUGGUCAAGACUGAAAAAAAAAAUCAAUUCCUGCCCUCUCUAUCUAAUUUCCAAGUUUAGAAUCUUCAUUAUUUUGUGUACUCAGAAGUAUCCCUGAAGCAUCCCAGGUUUCCUUCAUUCACUGACAAUAAAUUUUCAAGUGUGCAAUGGAACAAGGAGGAUACAGAAAUCAAAAACAAGCCUGCUCCUCUCAGACACCUUUGCUCAGUGUCUCCUUCUAUCCUGUGCAGAUCAUGGUAUAUCUGCCCUUUAAAUUACAGUGCAAUUUAACCAGUAUAAGCUUCUCUUUUUUUAGUGUUUCUGUUGUCUGUCCUUUACAGAAAGCUUGGCUUGAAGGCUGAGUGGUUUUAGAGUUCAUUUUUUUCCUUUCUUAAACUUACAUUAUGCUUCUAAGAAUAUAAUCGCUCUAUUGUGACUGCACUGUACAAAUCACAGAAUGAGUGAGUUAAGUUUCUUCAUAAAAGUGUUUUGAUUCCUACUUUUUUAUUCAUUACUUAUUAGAUAAAUGAAACAUACAGGCUCUUAUUUCCCACUUACAGACAGGAAGAUAAAGGAUUUUCCUUGGCAACUAUCAUUGCCCUAGCUAUAUUCCCGACAGAUCUACUUCUAGAGCAACAACUUGUGAUUCAAAGAAGUAAACAAAAAUAUUGUAAUCAAGAUUACUGCUACAUUUAAUGAAGUGGAAGCCAUGCUGCACUGCCUUAAUGUAAAAGGGCACAUUAUUUUCCAAAACACAGCGUAUCCAACCCUGUCUGUUAUUUGAACAAGUACUCAACAAUACUAGCAGAACAGUAAUUUGCAUUACAUUUAGAGAGAGUAGGGUAUGUGUAUAAUGCUAAGAUUUCAUAAGGUUAUAAAUAUUUUGUUAAUUGAUCUUUAGAACCAUUUUAAAAAUAGCUUAUUGUUACUGCAUUAGCAGAUUUUUAAGAUUAUAUAUGAAAUGGAAGGAGACUUGCUUUUGGGAACAAUGAAUAUUGCUAGAUGAGAAAAGGCAGGAGUACUGUACCCUGUCAAAAUGAUUGAAUGAUGCUCUGAAGUCAUUCAUUUGCUCCUGGGUGAUACCCUUGGCAUCUCUUGUGAGGAUCUGAGUCUCAACCUCAUUGAUAGUUCGAGCAAUGGUAGUAAGUAGGAGCUCCCAUCCAACACGGAUAUGCUAUGAGAGAGAAAAUACUGAUUCACUGAAGAGUCAAACAUAUUUUUCUAAAACUAUGAAAAGUACAGUCAGCAAAAAUCAGCUCUAAAUGCUUACAUGAUGUCUUAUCCAUACCACUAACUAUACAUUAUAACUGAAGGUCAUAAAAAAUAAAAAUAGUCUUCAGGAAAAUAUGGAACUGGUUUCUAACUGGGUACUUUUUUUUACUAUAACUAAGUGAUCCCUGAGUUUAUUCUGGAUGACAAGACUUGGACUUUGAGUGCUGUUAUUUUCAAUCAUCUCAGUUUAGUUAGAGGCUGUAUUCAAACAACACUUUUUCCCACAUUACCAAUUUCAGCCAUUUUCCAGCAUUCUGUAAAUAAUUAAUGUCACAAGUCACUUUACAAACAUGGGAAUCAUUCUUUAAAACUGAGAAAGCAUCUCCCACAAGUGUGUAAAACAGCUGUCCUCCUACACAUCAGCAGCACUGGGACCUUCACUGGUAAUCUGUAAAUUCUCAUAGCAAAUUAGUAAAGAUGAAACAUUGCUUUGCCACAGGAAAAAAAAAAAAAAAGCGAAAAAAUCCACUGCUGUACUACUGUUUAUCUGAAGGAAAACAAGCCAAGUCAUGAUGAGCUAUAUUUUCAUUCGAACUUUUUGUUUGCAGCAAACCAGAGAAGAAAUCAAGCCAAUUAAAUUUCACUAAGAAGCACUUAAUUUCUGUUCCACCUUUACCAGACCCAGGAAGGGCUCUUCAAAAUAUCUUAUGUCUCAGUCUUGCACUAGGCCAUUCUCAUCAGUAUGUGUGACAAUAAAAUGUGUGACAAAAAAGUUUUACAGUAUUAUCAGAAAGUCUGCCAAAUCUCAUUCUUCAUAGCAGUGUCUUCAGAUCAGGGAAGGCAGUUACAGGGAAGAAGAUGGCAAAACAAUCUAACAAGUACAAAACAGAGUAAAUGCUUACCUCCAUAGUAUAGUUGGUGUGUUUGUUGUCAAACACCAAGGCUUCUUGUAUGAGCUGAUGAUCUCCUUCCAGUUUAUCAAUGUUGUGUUUAUAGUUAAUGAUAUUUUGCUCAUAUUGCUUCAGCUGAUUCAUCUGGUCCUCCAAAGGCCCUGUCAUUUCAAUAGAGCUGCGGGCAAUUUCCUGCAAAAAGACACCCCCCACCACGCAAAAUUUAAGCUUCAGAUUUUCUAAUUUGACUUGCAUUCACAAAAAUAUUUCAUAUUUUCAGAUUAAGAAGCAAAAGUAAUAAAAUCUUCAUACAGAGAUGAUAAACUUUACUGUAGAAAACUCAUUUAAAAAAAAUGUGACUUAUUUAUUUCUGGAAUCAAUAUUGAGUUGCCGGUGAUCCCAAUGUUUUUCUGUAAAGAGCAAAAGCAAAAUAGCUGUUCAGUCAUACUUUUUUCAAAGCUACAUAUCCUACUAACCAUCACUUAUACAAUCUUACAGUUCUAAGAAUCAACAGGGUACUAAAUUCUUUGUGAUUAAACAGCUCGCAAACUAUCACGGAGACUGUUGAUAUCCUGUACAUACAACAAAGAUAACAAAUGAUAAAAUACUUUACUCAUCAGCUUCUGCAUGAGUGUCUGAUACUCACUUCCAUCUUGGUCUGGAUCCAUGGCCCAAUGACAUUGGCCUGAGCAGCAAACUGGCGACGCAGGCGUUCAUUGGCAUGCUGGCGGGCUAGUUCUUCCUGCAAUGAUUGAUCCCUCUGAGGUACCAGCUGCUUCACCUGUUACAGUGAGAAAGCAUUAAGUGUGAGGAUUCAUGACUGAAUACUUCUAAAACAAGUAGAACAAAAAAGCCUAUAGUUAGUAAUUUUUCUUAUUGGCCUGAAGAUUAAUAUCAGAACAAGCCAGAAAAAUUAUCACUGUUGUAUUUACCUUUGUGCUAACAUAAGGAAUUGCUACCAUAGUUUUGGGCAUCCAGAUGAGAGAGUGAAAUUCUCACCUCUGAGAUCACUGAAAUAUUUCAAAAUAUUUUGUACUAUGAAAGCUAGCUUAUCUUUCUACUACUUCUUUCAUCUCAACAUCAACUUCUCAUACAAUCUAUUACUUUCACUGUGCUUUAUGGAUGCAAAAUGUGUUUAAUUGCAUUUAAUACGUUUCUAGAAUAAUAAACGAUAACUUAAUAUUAUGCUGCAACCUCUUUCCACUGUCCACAUUAGAAAAUAUAUUUAAGAAGAAAUAGUUAAUUUGUGCCAGUUCCACCAGUUUUGAAAUGGCAAUUGGUUCAUUUUGGCAUCUGGUGAUCUAGAAAGAAAUGACAGAUUUAUUGUUAAGUUUCCUGGAUCAUCUCAGUAUUCCUAAACCAAACUACUACGUUACAACAUUCUUUUAUGCAUUUAGCAUUCAUUACCUUUUCCCACUUGGUGCGAAUCUCUUCCACAGUAACAGUGCUGUAAGGAUUGCUUGCACUUAUUCUCAUGCUGUAACUCUGAAUAACUUUUUCAACUUCAUUCUGGAUUGACAGUAUGGCCUGUCUUUCACCAUCUGCCUCUGGCAAAGUAGCUUUAAAUUGAUCAUGUGCAGAGAUUAAACUCUAAAAUCAGAGACAGAGAGGGAGAGCAUGAAAACUGUAAUUUUCCUUCCAACAUCUGGAGGAUCUGCUGUAAAUAAGCAUAGUUCAUUCUCUCAGACUCCCAAACACCCUGUCUACAUGUAUCUGUAUGUACAUAAAAUAAUACACAUAGAUACAUUCAUGAAAAACCCAUGAUUAACUUCAUCAAGACUACUGCUUCUUCUAUAUUUUAGAAUACUUUCAUGCCCAUCAAGAAAUAACUUUAUUAUAGACAUCACCUAUCAGAACGUAAAUGUUAGGACAGAAUCUCUUACCUAUGUUGUAUUCUCCAAGAAAGAAAAAGUUUCUUUUCUUGUCUUUCUUAUGACUGUAAGCCAAAAAAAAAAAAAAAGACAACCAUUUACCUGAAUUUCCUCUAUGCUAUGAACAAUAAACAUGUCCUGUAGGUCUUCCAUAGCACCUUCCAUCCAGUUGUUGAAAGGAGCAGCUCUUUUGGCAAACUCCAGGUGAAGCUGAUCAAUUGUUUCAAGCAAUUUCUCUGUCCUCUGUAUAGGUUGGAAAAGGUAAAUUCCUUUUUAUUAGAGGCAAGACCUAAUUCUACACACAUUCCUAUGAACAAAAUCAUGCUUCAUCUUUUCAAAAGCAAAUGAUUAUCUAAUCGAGUGGUUUCACCACUUGCUUUAUGGCAACAGUACUAAAGAUACUUUCAUAUCAGGCAUUAAAAGGGAUGUAUGCCUUUCAAGGGUAACAGAUGAAAUGACUUGUUUUUGAUAUUGUAAUCUAUCUGCAAAUCAAUUUAAAUCUGCUAAUCUUGCUUUAGUCAUUUCUUUCAAGUAGAAAUUCAUCCUCUCAGCUGAGCUGAUCAUUAUUAUAUUGUUUACCUCCAGUGCCUCUCUCCUUUUCUGAGUAAGUGUUCCCAAGCUGUCCCAUUGGUCACAUAUCUUUUGGCAUCGAUCAUUGACACUUGCAGCAUCGUGAUAGUCCAGUUCACUAAGAAAAAGUGAAGACAAAAGUCUGAGCAGUCUUCUGAGAGGCAGGAAUAGUUGCAUUGUGCAUGCUAUUCCACUGCCCUUCAGUAAUUCUUCCCCUCUAUUUUUUUGCAAUAUUUCUCCUCCAGGUAAGCAAGUGCUGCGUGUAGACAUGUAUGAUUUAAACAUGCUACAUUUCAAGAAGCACAGCACAGAAACAGUAUCAACACCUCCUUCAGUCUGAGGCUUUAUCAAGUUCCUGGAGGAGUCAAGAAACUGAAACUUGGAGGCUUGAAGCCACGAGGAGGAGUCUGGGAAUUUGAUGCUGGCUCCUCUUUCAACCACUAACACACAUUUGUUCCUGUUGGCUUUGCAGAUUUGUGCUGUGGGUGAGCAAUGAAUUUAAUUAUGUGCCAGAUGUUAAGAUCAGGAGUAGUGCUACUGAUUUACAGUACAAGACCGCUGCAAUUAACUGCAUAAGAUUAUAAAAUCAAAUGUCCUUAGCUUGUUGCACACAUGAAAAUGACUUUACCAGAAUGGAGACAUCAUUAUCUAACACUACAGUCCUGCCAGUGUGGGCAGAGCUUUGCUGACAAAGCUGUGCUUCACCCAUGUGAAUUAACAGCUUUCCCACAAACAAAAGCAGACUUAAUAAAGACAGAGCCUAGUCACAGUCACUGCACCAACACUCAGGGCUUCUGUUGCCACAGAAGUGUCUGUCAGGCACGGGCCUUGGCUUUUCACACCUCUGAACUACCUAGCUGAUGUCAAUAUAGCUAAAUAUGUUGUAGAACUGUUCUCAGCUUUGUUCUCUGGGCAUAGUAUGCUGAGUGAGGAGGAGAGGUUGUGUGUUUGCUUGCCUUGGAGCAUACUAGAGACAUUUUAAUCUUCGGAGACAUCAUUGCAUGACCCAAUAUCGAUACAGAAAGGAUAAUUUAAGGAUAUCAAAUCUUUUUAAAGGACCAACAUACCUGUGGGAAAAUACCAGAUUUUAAAUUGAAGAUGUUUGAUCUGUAAUAUAUCUAACUGCUAUUAUUUUCUAAGUUAAUAAUUUAUAACCAGUACCUCUCAGCAGACCAUAUGAACUAAGAAACAGACACCUCCAGCAUUCCCAUGAACACACAUUGGACUCAUUAGUAGAAAGAAAACAUUUGAAAAUGCUUGUUUUCAAAUAUUUUUGGUCAGUUGAAUGUCUAUAUUUGGUUGGGAGUAGAGGGGAGAUGAGGGAAAGGUCUCAGUGACCAGCUCAGAUAAUAUACUUAUGAAGCUAUCUCUGGAAUUCUUACGUUGGUACCUAUGACACUAUCAAAUUCAUUGGAAAGAGUUUAUCGCAAAGUUAAAUGUCAGCAGCUGCAAGCCUUUAAAUGGAACAUACUUCAGCUCCUGGGCAAUGGCAGCGAUCUGUUCCACCCUGUCCUGGUGAGCAGCCAAAUCGCUCUCAAAAGCCUCAUGUUUCCUCAACAUGGCACGGACUUCUGUCAGAGAUGCAGAUUCAUAAUCCUUCUGAAGUAAGAUCUGCUCUUUGCCUGAAAGAGGAUAUUAAAUUAUUAGUCUGUUUCUACUAAUUUAUGGGUUAGAACAAUAGCAAAUUCAGUCAACUUUUUUAUUUUUUUAGCUGAGGCAUGGUCAAAAUCACAUAUAUAAGAUGAAAUCCCUGCUCCACUGCAAUGAGUGGCAAUUUGUCAGCAUGACAGUGUUAAUUAGGAAAAUAACAUAUUUUUAAAGAUCUCUCAAUAAUCCCUUGAUUCUUGCACAGGAUGAUUAUACAUGUCUAAAAUAGCUGGUAUUGCAUUACUUGAGAAACUGCAUAAAGUGGUAUAUUGGCAAAAACUAAGGAUCUAAACUAUUCUGGCAAAUCUUUUAGAGUGUAUUACUGAUUUACAAAAUCAGAAAUCACACUGCUAUGCUCAGCUUCACUCCUACUAAGGAACUGUUACUCUUUUUCAUGGUCUGCUUUCAAUUCAUUAUUAAUUUCAGCACUUUCCUGCCAAAAUUAGAUAGACACAUGGCUGUAUUUUGUAUCAAUUACUGAAUUUUAAGUGGAAAAUGCCAACAUAGCUGCAAGAGAAGCAAAAAUGAAAUCAGAAAUUGAAAUAUUACUCCUCGGUAGCUCCUGUGUUGGACAAAAAUCUAUACAAACAGCCUGUACAAUUGCAGCUCGCCAUAUGACAUUACAUAGCUCUGCAGCUUCUAGAGCCAGAAGGGCUAUUGUUUCACUUGCUAUGUACAAGCUUAUGUGAAUUUUUCCCUGUAUAAUAGCCAUACCACGGCACCAUGAGUAGAAUAUCCUCAGAAAAUAGGCUCUCAGGGCUGAUAAAUACUGUAGUUUCUUUUCUAGUAUGUUUGGUAACUUUUUACUGCUAUGUAUGCUUCCAGCAACCAUGUUAUUGGAUAGCCUCAGUUUUACUUUCACAGUGUGAAAAGACUGUAGCUGGAAAAAGCCAAAAGCGUGGCAGAAACAGGAAAAUGGUUGUCAGGGCCAAAAACAACAACAACAACAAAAAAAUGAUGAGAGAGUGUCACUAUGCUUAAUGGUGUCAACAAAACUUUAUGUUGGCGUUGUAAAAUAGAUGGUCCUAUAGCUGUUACAACUACACCUAACGUUAGGCUAUCUUUAAAAAACAGAGCCACACAUGGGGUAUAAUCUAGGGCAUGGAGCAAAGCAAAAGUGAGUCCAUUAUUAUGCAGUUUAUGUGAACUAUAAAAAAUCAACAUGGCCAAGAUUACCAACCAGAAGAGUUCUGUUAAUAAUUCCACAUUCAGCCAGCCAUAGAUCCCAGUUUAUUUUUGAGUUUAAAAUUUCUGUACUCACUUCACUCCUGGCUGUAUCACUGGUGUACAAAUACACAGAUGCAUUACCAGUAAGAGCCUUUAUUCAUUUACUGGAUAGUGUUAUUAGGUUUGACUCAAUCCCUUAGGAGAAAAGAGUAUGAUUUUCACAGUUACAUUUCAUUAGCAACGUCUACAAAUUAGGACCAUGACUGUAGGCCACAGAACCUCCAAUUUUAUCUGUUAGCAUUUUACUUUUCUAAAGCUGUCCAAGCUAAUUUCUAGAGUGCUCCUGGUUGGCAAACAUCCAUCAUUGACAGUUCAACCUUGAAGGUUAAAAUGUGAAAAAUGUUAGAAGCCAUCUCUGCUUACCAUAUGCCCACUGCUCAUGAGUGGAAGCCUUCUGUCUAAAUUUCUCAGCCAAGUGUUCAAGUCUUUCCAGUCUUCGUAUUUCAUUCAGCAGCCACUCUUCAUAGCCUUUCUCAGCUUGUUCAAGCCUCUGCCAAGCGCCAGCAAUAUCCUGUUAAGAGAAUAUAUGAGAAGGAGUGAAUGAAACUAUAAUCUCUUUUUUAUCCAAAUUUGCAGAUUUCUGACUCGCUCAGUUUUCCUCCAACAAGAGAAGUCAGGAUGUCCAGAUUUUGCCAAAUACCAGAAUCACAGGAAAUGUCAGUUGUCAGGCAGCUCUGGAAACCAGACAGUCCAAACAACUGCACCUGACAAAGCAUCCCAACCAAGGGAGGUCGGGAUCAUGAAAGAAUCCUCUAUACAAAUAGUUUUCAGCAACAUCAUUUGUUCACUGUCUUCAUGACACAUUAGUUUUACCUCUCGUGUUCCAAGUACACGUUCUUUUGUGAUGUAGUUGUCUGUUAUCAGAAUGAAUGUGCUGUGCUCUCAGGAGCUGACAACAACAAAACAAUUAGUACCAAGAAGAUUAGAUCCUUAUUUUACCUGGAAUACAAAUUCAUUUCAUUUUCUGUGGUGUACAGUUUUGUGAUUUUCCUUAGAAGCUUAAAGGCAUGAGAAGGAAACUGAGGUGAGAGACCCCUUAUUUUCUGAGUAUGCAGCACAGCAGCCACCCUUUGCAAGUAAUGCAACCAUCUGUUUGUGAAAUCUAAGCAACGAAAGUACAGUGCUAAAACAGAAUAUAGAUACAGGUUUGCUGUAUUCCAGAAGAAAUGUUCUGACCCACAGUAAGACUAUUAUUAUCUUCAGAAAAAACGGAAGAUUUUUUUGAGCCAUUUCUCUGUUUCUCUGUGUCUGAUGAACAGAAUGUCAGUGAAACCAGCGUAAGUUUUGCUUUGAUAAAAAAAAAAGUGGUUAAGUAAACUAACGUGCCCAAAGAAAGCUCUGUCUCAAGACAAUUUGCUACUGAGGAAAGUUUUCAAAGAGCGAGGAGCAUACUUAAGGGAAAGAAAGAUUUUAGAAUGAAAGGGAAUGUUUAAGAGUGUGGUUUGAUAUUGACAAAUCGCAGCAAACUGAAGUUUCUGAGGAUGGCUCAAAAUAGUAAUUCAGUCCUUCAUAUUGAAAUUCUUGUGAGAAUGUUGGUAGAAAGGAGAAUGGAAUAUUGAUGCCUCCUUUACUUACUGAAACCAUUUUUCCCUCCGAUGGCAUGAAAGCUGGUCGAUUGCUGAUUCUCAGUUUUGUCUGCAGGGUGUUGAAAUUGAUCUCCAGCUGACAUUUCUCUUGAACUUUGGGAGGUUUGUGUUUGCGGCGGUAGUCCCGGAAAUCCUCUAAUUUCUUCUGCAUGGCCUGCAUUGUUUUUUCCGGGGUCCUGUUUUCCAGCCAAGGAAUUGUCCUGCGAAUCCAUUCUAAAAGCUUUCAAAUCAACACAAACAAUUUAAAUUAAGGCAAUGGAAGAGCAACAACAACAAAAAGAUAAUAUUUAAUGCAUAAAUUUCAAUCAUGUUUUCUCCAUCUUACUAUUGUUAACUUCCGUUGGAGUCAGGGUCCUAAUGGCAAGUAAGAACAAAAUUUUCUCAACAGAACAAUAACCCUAACUUUCUCAGAUAUUCUAGAUACUUCUGGAAAUACCUUGACUUUCAGGGUAUGAACACGGACAUGUACAUAAGGUGACUCCAGGUAAUUAAAACACAAGUUACCCAGUAUCACUGGCCACUUUCAAAAGUAUUGGUACUGAUGUCUCAAGUAGUCAUAGUUCAUAAAUAAGAAUGGACAUCAAUCAAGUAACUCAAGACAUGUAAAUGUUUUUGUGCAGAAGUCCUCAGUACCAAUCCAGCACUACUCUCAUUGUGUCUAUCAUCUCUGUAUGUUUUUGGAGGUUGUGCAUUAUAAAGACAAAGGAGCUCUCACUCAUGCACUACAUAUCUGCAGUCCUGACACAAUAGAUUUUCCAUAUACCAAGAAAAGACAAGAGGAGCUGAUUCAUAAAGUCUGCAGUAUAUACUUCGUGAAGAAAAAUUAUAUUACCUGUGCUUUGGAAAAAAAAAAAAAACAAUCUUCUGGUAAUAAUCAGAAACAACACAAGCAGUGUGCCUUCACCAUUCAUUUGCUGUAUGGGUUCACAGGUGUUUUGUGAACACCCUGAGACCCUGUCCAGGUACAGCUUGCAGUAUAUAAAGCCAGUGGGCUGGCCUGGAGUAAAAGAAUCCUGUAUGUUCCACGUGUGGUGAUGGAAGAGCUAUCACUGGAGGUUACAGAGACAACAAGCUUAGUCCUAAGGCAGCCUGAUGACAGUCCCCAAAACACCCUUUUUGGCACAAGAAAACAAGACUGAAUGACUUGCUGGAGGUCACACAGGAAAUCUCUGGCAAAGGACUGACCUGAUAUUUGACAUUUUUGGGAUACUGAACUUUGUACCCUACAACUGUGAGAUUCACCUUAAUAAUAUUUUCACUUUCUGCCUUGCAGACAGUGCAUGAAUCUUUCAGCUUUCAGUAUUUCAUGAACCGAAUUAUCACCAUGUUACAGAAAAGGCUGUCUUUACCUCACUUGCAAGUCUCUCAUACUCUUCCAUCAACCUCUCAUUUUCUUGAUUCACAGCAAGCACCUUACAGAUCCGGUUUGCUGCAGUCUCAGCCUAUAAAAUAUAGCAAAUAAACAGGACAUACUUGUAAACAUCCUGAGAAAGGUACAGGCUUGGAGAAAGAAAGAUAACAUGGCAGCUGCAAAUAAAAAUGACAUUGGUUUAAAGUUGUUGAUUUAUGCUUCUAGGUCACCCUCCUUCUAUACUCACAGACACUGGUGGUCUUAAAUGAGGCAUAGAUUGGCACAGAAGUCACUGAGUCAAUUAAGCCUUACUGUACAAGGGGGAAUUUCACACUGUCAUUAUAGUUGUUUAAUAAAUAUUUUACUUUCAAAAGCAACUGAAGCCAUUCUUAAAGUUAUCUUAUUCGGUUAAUUUUUUAAAGCACACUAAAAAGGUAUUAGGUUUGUUAGCUACAGAGGAAAAACUGGAUGCAAUUCAGGGGACCCACAUGCACAUACACCCUUGAAAAUAGACACAGUUUAACUACUGACAGCAAAUCUUUUCUAGACUCCUGCCAAAUUUAUUUCUAAAAGCACUGUAGCUCUGCCAUAUUUGAAACUGAGAUUAAUAGUUCCACGUCACAAAUUUAUAAUUUCAUAUAGAUGCGAAUCUGAAAUAUAUCCAGUCAACUGAAAAAUAGUAUUUGGAAUCUUUCUUUUCUAUUAAUAGCCAAACCUGCACACCCAGAUGGAACAAUGCACAACAGCAUAGCUGUGCUACAAUAUGGUGUAGGAGGCCUACCAGAUAGGAAGGGAAAUUCAAUUCAGAGGAAGAUGGAAAAAUAUCAACUACUUUAAGGCAUUUUUUUUCUCUCCACAUAAGUUGGUUUGUGUCCAUUUGUAGACUAGAAAUGUAAGAAAUACAGCAGAUGAAAAUGCAACAUUUGUUAUAAUACCAUCCUGUAUGAUAGAUCUGCUGAUACUCUUGCUUCUUAUACCAACACUUUGGUCUACAAAUAAUUCCACUGGCUUCAGUAGCAGCCAGGUGCAAAUACUGCUGUGGGAAACUUCUUUGCCUCUCCACAUCUCUAGGCAGCCCUAAAUUACUACUCAGAAUGAAUAAGUCCAGAAUACUCUCAGUCUCCAGAAGUCAAACAUGAUUUUAUGCAGCAAAAGCAUAAGAUGUUGAUGUAGCAACAAAAAAAUUCCGUUUCACAGUAUCUUCAAAUACAGUUUUUCUGAAAUGGUCUUUACAAUCACCAAAGACUCUCAACAUUAGAAUCACAAAUAUCUAUUAAAAUAAAAAGGUUCAACUUGCUACGCAAGAUUUAACUAAAACAGGUUCAGUGCUGGUUAAAAACAAGUAUUAGUGCUCAAGUAAUACUUGCAAUUGUUAAUUAAAACAGCAAAACACAAAAUUAGUGAGUUUGGUUGGUUGGUUUUUUUUUGGGGGGGGGGGGGGGAUGUUUUUUUGUUUUGUUAUAAACGAGUGGAAAAGUAAAAUAAUCAAAAACACAGCAACCUGAAGGGACAAUCGAUUAAUACCUGCUCUGCUCCAGCAAAAGCAUGGUAGAAGCAGGACACAUAUGUCAUGAUAGCUCUCUCAUCAGGUUUGGGAGUGUUCACAAUAUCUAUAAUAUUGGGGAGAAAUGAAAACAAAAAACAAACAAACAAAAAAGAUACAGGGAGUAGAAAACAGGGUGAAUAAAUAAAAGCACAACACAGUUGACACUGCAAAUAGUUUUUUGUACAUAGUUAGCUCUGUACUCUGGAAAAUAUACAAAGCUGGAAUAAACGCAGUUUUGGUUUGAUGGGCAUUGACAGAAAAAAAAUCCAUACUCUAGAAAUUGAACACGAACUCUUACAAAAAUGUAGAAUUUUUGAUCUUGCAGUACUGUCACAGAGAAAAAUACCUUAAUUUUAAAAAGACUAUCUGCAUAAUAAUUGGCAUGAACAUCUUGUUGACUAACAGAGAAAAGACAAGCUAGAUUUUGAUCUGGGGAGAUCUCCUCUGGAAGCUACAUAUGGAUCAGUUUUAACUUUAACAUUACAUAUCAGUACUCCUUGUAUUACUAAUGCCUAAAACAUGUCCUACUCUGAUUUGCCUUGCCUUUUCCACUUUCACUUCUUCUCAUUAGAACAUGAAUCCAGAGCUCUUCUGAGAUGUCUGUAUAUUUCCCUGUUUUGUAUAGUAGUGAUGUUUUAUGUUGCUGAUUGUACUUACCAUUGAAUAUUUAAUAUUUUAAAAAACAAUCCUGAAAGCAUAAGAAAAGGAUUCAUUUUCUGAGCAUCUGUUAUGAAGAUUUUGACAUAUGCAACAGGAAUAUCCAGCAGGCAAAAAAAAGAUGAAAUUCUGGUAUUGGAAUAGCUUUAUCACCGCAAGCUUAUUUUCUUCUAACAUUUUUAAGUGCUUCUCAUCAAAGCCCAGAAGUUCAAUCAAAGGAUAUUGAAUAACGUCCUACCAAGUCCAGUGAUCAGAUGCCCAAAACCUGCUGGAUAUUGUCAGUAAAUAUAUAGGAAGAUGAGAGAGGAAAGUUUGUAUCUACAGAACAAAUGGAUAGACUACUACUGGCUCUACAGAGACAGUGUCUCACAGAGAAAAGCAGGCAACAGAAAAUGAGCUCGGCUCUAAGAUGCUGUCCUAAGAACUAGUGAGGGAAAGAUCAAAAGAGGAAAAAAAAUUGCUGAAAGAAACAACAAAGAAGGUGGAGGGUGAGAUCUGAUCUAUCUACAACCUCACCUUCUGAGCACCAGCAAAUGCAUGGUAGUAACAGGAAACAUAAGUCAUAAUGGUUCUUUCGUCAGGUCUGGCAGUGUUUACUACAUCUGUGUAGAAAGAAAAGGGUUUACUGCUCAGAAAUUCUUAUGAGGUACUUCCAUUAGAUUAAGCUGAUGAUGCCAGCUCAGUGCUACAAAGAUUAAAAAUAAGUAUGUUAUCCUUCA